AAUGGGGGAAACCCUGACGCAGCAACGCCGCGUGAAUGAAGAAGGCCUUAGGGUUGUAAAGUUCUGUUUUCUGGGACGAUAAUGACGGUACCAGAGGAGGAAGCCACGGCUAACUACGUGCCAGCAGCCGCGGUAAUACGUAGGUGGCAAGCGUUGUCCGGAUUUACUGGGCGUAAAGGAUGCGUAGGCGGAUGUUUAAGUGAGAUGUGAAAUACCCGAGCUCAACUUGGGUGCUGCAUUUCAAACUGGAUAUCUAGAGUGCAGGAGAGGAAAGCGGAAUUCCUAGUGUAGCGGUGAAAUGCGUAGAGAUUAGGAAGAACACCAGUGGCGAAGGCGGCUUUCUGGACUGUAACUGACGCUGAGGCAUGAAAGCGUGGGGAGCAAA
RNAcentral lists this ribosomal RNA (385 nucleotides) under uncultured bacterium. RNAcentral describes it as "bacterial SSU rRNA". It matches the Rfam family "Bacterial small subunit ribosomal RNA", at positions 370 to 772 of the family's 1533-position model. The record is from RNAcentral.